RNAcentral lists this ribosomal RNA (174 nucleotides) under uncultured bacterium. RNAcentral's name for it is "partial 16S ribosomal RNA". It matches the Rfam family "Bacterial small subunit ribosomal RNA", at positions 338 to 524 of the family's 1533-position model. The record is from RNAcentral.
CCUAGGGGAGGCAGCAGUGGGGAAUAUUGGGCAAUGGGCGCAAGCCUGACCCAGCGACGCCGCGUGCGGGAUGAAGGCCCUCGGGUUGUAAACCGCUUUCAGUAGGGAAGAAGCGAAAGUGACGGUACCUACAAAAGGAGCACCGGCUAACUAUGUGCCAGCAGCCGCGGUAAU